GAACUGAAGAGUUUGAUCAUGGCUCAGAUUGAACGCUGGCGGCAGGCCUAACACAUGCAAGUCGAGCGGUAGAGAGGUGCUUGCACCUCUUGAGAGCGGCGGACGGGUGAGUAAUGCCUAGGAAUCUGCCUGGUAGUGGGGGAUAACGCUCGGAAACGGACGCUAAUACCGCAUACGUCCUACGGGAGAAAGCAGGGGACCUUCGGGCCUUGCGCUAUCAGAUGAGCCUAGGUCGGAUUAGCUAGUUGGUGAGGUAAUGGCUCACCAAGGCGACGAUCCGUAACUGGUCUGAGAGGAUGAUCAGUCACACUGGAACUGAGACACGGUCCAGACUCCUACGGGAGGCAGCAGUGGGGAAUAUUGGACAAUGGGCG
RNAcentral lists this ribosomal RNA (374 nucleotides) under Mesorhizobium sp. Its description in RNAcentral is "bacterial SSU rRNA". It matches the Rfam family "Bacterial small subunit ribosomal RNA", at positions 1 to 377 of the family's 1533-position model. The record is from RNAcentral. Lineage: Bacteria; Pseudomonadati; Pseudomonadota; Alphaproteobacteria; Hyphomicrobiales; Phyllobacteriaceae.